This is a long non-coding RNA of Brassica oleracea var. oleracea, 111 nucleotides long. RefSeq lists it as uncharacterized. The record is from RefSeq and is a predicted model, not a curated record. NCBI's taxonomy places the organism in Eukaryota, Viridiplantae, Streptophyta, Magnoliopsida, Brassicales, Brassicaceae. The transcript has 2 exons.
GGGACAAAAUAAAAGACGUUUUCCCCCAAGAAAGAGGUUGGAAGAUGAUUCUUACUUCACGUAAUGAAGGUGUUGGUUUGCAUGCCGACCCAUCAUGUUUUCCCUUUAGAC